RNAcentral lists this ribosomal RNA (492 nucleotides) under uncultured bacterium. RNAcentral describes it as "partial 16S ribosomal RNA". It matches the Rfam family "Bacterial small subunit ribosomal RNA", at positions 29 to 507 of the family's 1533-position model. The record is from RNAcentral.
AGUGAACGCUGGCGGUAGGCCUAACACAUGCAAGUCGAACGGCAGCACAGUAAGAGCUUGCUCUUACGGGUGGCGAGUGGCGGACGGGUGAGGAAUACAUCGGAAUCUACUUUUUCGUGGGGGAUAACGUAGGGAAACUUACGCUAAUACCGCAUACGACCUACGGGUGAAAGCAGGGGAUCUUCGGACCUUGCGCAAUUGAAUGAGCCGAUGUCGGAUUAGCUAGUUGGCGGGGUAAAGGCCCACCAAGGCGACGAUCCGUAGCUGGUCUGAGAGGAUGAUCAGCCACACUGGAACUGAGACACGGUCCAGACUCCUACGGGAGGCAGCAGUGGGGAAUAUUGGACAAAGGGCGCAAGCCUGAUCCAGCCAUACCGCGUGGGUGAAGAAGGCCUUCGGGUUGUAAAGCCCUUUUGUUGGGAAAGAAAAGCAGCAGGUUAAUACCCCGCUGUUCUGACGGUACCCAAAGAAUAAGCACCGGCUAACUUCGUG